Molecule: ribosomal RNA, 253 nt
Filed under: uncultured bacterium
Lineage: Bacteria
Description: partial 16S ribosomal RNA
Rfam family: Bacterial small subunit ribosomal RNA
Source: RNAcentral
UACGUAGGGUGCGAGCGUUAAUCGGAAUUACUGGGCGUAAAGCGUGCGCAGGCGGUUUUGUAAGCCCGAUGUGAAAUCCCCGGGCUUAACCUGGGAAUGGCAUUUGGGACUGCAAGGCUCGAGUGCGGCAGAGGAGACUGGAAUUCCUGGUGUAGCAGUGAAAUGCGUAGAUAUCAGGAGGAACACCGAUGGCGAAGGCAGGUCUCUGGGCUGACACUGACGCUGAGGCGCGAAAGCUAGGGGAGCGAACGGG